UAAAAAUUGAUUUCGGGAGCCUCAAGACAUCGAAACCGGCCUCAAGACAUUACCGUUGGCUCGCAGUUAACGGAUUGAAUUUCACCGGAGUUCCCACUUUCAGGGAAUGCUCAGUGCAUUUUUGUUAGGAUGGAAUCCAUGGUAUGCACUAUGCAGGCAGGUUAACUGCAAUAUAGUAAUGCAUGAGAUAGAAAAGAGAAAAGCUGAUCCUUCAUAUCAUAUGCAGAAGCAGCAAACGAUGUCUUUGGCUCGACUUCUCAGCUGUUGUGUCGCCACUCAAGUUGUUCGGUAUACAAGCAUUUGUUAUAGUGAAGCUGGCAUCAUAUGCUAUAUCUUGGGGCAGCAAAUUCAUAGACCAGGCAGGUUGGACAACACCAUUGAUGCACAAGUGAGAUGGAGGUGCAUUUGUGGCCUCAGUAUGAGUUUGGUAAGGCUCGAAAGUUAUGGAAUUUUGUUGUGAUAGAGCCUUAUCUGGUGCCGUGGUUUGAACAUUCCGUUCUUGCGGAAUUGACAUAUUGGUACCAGCACUACUGCAUAGAUUUAUAGCACUGGGAUGUUGAUUAUCAACUUGUUGCAUCAAAGUCCUCGUGGCAUCCAAACAAGAGAUCUGAUUACUGAAAUAGUUUGGUGAAGAUAUGGCUGCAGGCAUGUUUGUGACUGGUUGGAACAAGGUUGUAUCAAAAUUUUGAGAAACCAUUGCCAUCAUCAGUGUCAGGUGCUGUUGGUGUCCUUCCCCUGAUGAUGGCAGCGGCUUUGUGGGUUGAGAUCUUGAAUCGCCACCUUUUGAAGAUGAGGCUUUGGAUGACUUGCCAUUCCUAGUGUUGCCUCCAACUGGGAUAAGCCUCAAUCUGCCCCCGACAGUCCACUGUCUUUUGCAAGUCCUGCAAUGGAAUCGGGGCUGUGUGAGGCUAUUGUUGUUGAAGUAGCGAAAUCUAGUAUCUAGAGAACCACAUCGAGGGCAUUCCAAGGGGGUCUGUGGUUGCUGGGCUUCUGCUCUUGAUUGCUCCAUUGCUGUUUGUUGACUGUGUCCUUCUCUUUUCUUCUAUGCUCUCAGUUUGUGCAUUGUUCCUGUGCUAUAAGCUUAUAUUUAUACUUAAAAAUGUUAAUACUUUACUGUGUAUAUUUGAAAGCAUCUUAUUUUGGUUACUGUAAUCCUUGGCAUGUAAAUAUUAAUAUGAUUACAAGAUUUUAUAGAUGUGCGCCGAUAAAAAGGGUUAUCGGGCUAGUAAAGAGGAAAAGAUCAAUAAAAGCAUGCCCGCUAUGUGACUAUGCAGUCUUCCAUUAGAGAUAAGAUUUUCGCGUUGACAGAUUUUCAUUGGAUUAUGAAAAUUAAUUGAAUACAACGUGCUUGUGUCUAUUUUUUUUCUAUGUACCUUCACUUUCCCUUUCACAGAUACAGCCUUUCGACCUUAAAUCCGGCACCCUUUCUGCGAAAGCAGUCUGACCUCAUUAUAUCUCAAUUCUCAACAAAUAACACAAUUUUCUUAUGGUGUAUAUUAUGUCUUUCAUGUCAUAACAUAAAAAUAUCUUAUUAUAGUUUAUGAUCCUGUGUUAUAUCUAUGUUUCAUAUCCUCGUAUAUAUAUGUGAAUUGCAAGUUUUGCUUGCUAAACUCAGACAGCUAUUAAAGCAUAUAAUGGGUAUAUAUCGUCCUUAUUAAGUAACUUCAAAGUGAAUAGCAAGCUGAAGGGAAUUGCUUAGGAUUUGCCUUUCAUGUACGAGUUUAACUAAACUCGUAUGAAUUUGCCGGAUCAUAUAACAUGUAUAGAUCCUAAUGUUUAGGUUAUUUUAUGUCUCACAGGACAUAAUUGGGCUUUAAUAGUUGUGAAAAUUACUUAACCUUUUUUAACUCUCUACUCAAUGUGUAAACACUCAGAAGCUGAAGCUGUAAAAGGUAAUUGAGGUUGAAGCAUUGAUUCUUAGCAAUGCCUAUGCCUUGAUCACGUGGCCGUGAAAAAGAUUAGUAACACUGACUUCGGGAAUAGCUCUCAAUGUCUAAACCUGAUCUCACAAAUGCCGUACCUGAUCACCUUGAGGCAUUGUCGCCUCCAAUGUAACCUAGAAUUUCAUAUUGCUAUUGUUCUAUUUAGGAUAGUAGAGCAGAAAGUCACAGGUGUGGCUUGAUUGCCCCAUUAUGCACUGUAUGUUUAUCUUUUGAUAUUUAGUCGCACACCUUCCCUUUAGUUGCAGAAUAAAUCUAUUACCUAUGUGCAGCUUCAGUUUCUUCUUCUAUGCUCUCCUUGUUCUUGCAUUGGUGAUGAGAAUACACCAGACCUAAACUAUGCAGCUGCUGCCUGCUGGCUUGCUAGACGACCACAAAGCCUUUUAACACGACGCUCAUGGUGCAAAACCAUCACUAGUGGAUUGAUGAUCCCUAGGACAGUUUAAUACAGUGAAUCGUUUUGGGAAUUUUGGGCUCACUAUGUUGCUGUUUGGUAUAAUGGCAAUGCCCUCUAGCAGAAUUCAUUUGCAAGCAGCAACGCUUCCAGGAAUAAGCAGGAGAAAGAACUUUGUCUUCAAGGAGGUAUAAAAGAUCACAUAUUUGUCUGAUAAGUAGAGACAUCUUUCAUUUAACAUGAAGAGUCACAUUUCUUUAUUAGUAAUGAAGAGAAUUAAAAGUUUUACUAGUACUAUUUUUUUGUCCUAAUUGAUCUAACUAACUCUUGUGAUGGGUAUGAGGUAGCCAACGUAGUAACCAUAUAUUUAAUGAAGUUUUCUCUGAAUAAUAAUGUUCAUUUUUCUUAUU
This is a long non-coding RNA of Salvia miltiorrhiza (redroot sage), 2744 nucleotides long. RefSeq lists it as uncharacterized. The record is from RefSeq and is a predicted model, not a curated record. The transcript has 4 exons. NCBI's taxonomy places the organism in Eukaryota, Viridiplantae, Streptophyta, Magnoliopsida, Lamiales, Lamiaceae.